This 477-nucleotide ribosomal RNA is filed under the name uncultured bacterium. RNAcentral's name for it is "partial 16S ribosomal RNA". It matches the Rfam family "Bacterial small subunit ribosomal RNA", at positions 30 to 507 of the family's 1533-position model. The record is from RNAcentral.
AUUGAACGCUGGCGGCAUGCCUUACACAUGCAAGUCGAACGGUAACAGGUUAAGCUGACGAGUGGCGAACGGGUGAGUAAUGUAUCGGAACGUGCCCAGUCGUGGGGGAUAACUGCUCGAAAGAGCGGCUAAUACCGCAUACGACCUGAGGGUGAAAGCGGGGGAUCGCAAGACCUCGCGCGAUUGGAGCGGCCGAUAUCAGAUUAGGUAGUUGGUGAGGUAAAGGCUCAUCAAGCCGACGAUCUGUAGCUGGUCUGAGAGGACGACCAGCCACACUGGGACUGAGACACGGCCCAGACUCCUACGGGAGGCAGCAGUGGGGAAUUUUGGACAAUGGGCGCAAGCCUGAUCCAGCCAUGCCGCGUGCGGGAAGAAGGCCUUCGGGUUGUAAACCGCUUUUGUCAGGGAAGAAAAGGUUCUGGCUAAUACCUGGGACUCAUGACGGUACCUGAAGAAUAAGCACCGGCUAACUACGUG